Falco peregrinus (peregrine falcon) is the source of this 4484-nucleotide long non-coding RNA. RefSeq lists it as uncharacterized. The transcript has 2 exons. The record is from RefSeq and is a predicted model, not a curated record. NCBI's taxonomy places the organism in Eukaryota, Metazoa, Chordata, Aves, Falconiformes, Falconidae.
GAUUCGUUUCCCCCAUCUCCCACGGCACCCAGCAGCAGAGUGAGCACCAGGAGCAGAGGGAGUGCUGGAUGAUGCUCCCUUGCGCCCUGCCCAGCCUCAGCUGCUCCGGAGCCAGCGGCUGCAUCCAGACCAUCGCCCUUCCCAACUGCCUCGUCCCCUUCCCGACUUGCCUCCAGCAUCUCAUAGCACCGAUUUCCACAGUUAAUUUAUCAGUUUAAUAACGGCAUCAUCAAGAAGGGUGAAGCAAGGCUAGCACUGAGCCAGCUCAACUUUAUAUCACCCAGAGUAAAAAUGUCAUGUAAGAUUUACUCAACAUGUAUUUUAUCAAAGUGCUCAAGCGCUGAAGUAAAAGGGCUUUUAGUUACAGCAGAUUGAAGGGGGUGGCAUGUGGGGAAGGAGGAGAGAACGGAUGGAUUUUAGCUCUGCCAGAAGCUCUUGUUGCUUUUGCAUCAACAUCUUUAUUUUCUAAGAGAGGAUUUAAGACCUUGUUGUGUAUAAACAACCAAGACUAGAGGAACUCGAACGGUGAGGAACUGUAAAAGGUUAUACUGAAAAAUGCUAUUAGUCUGCAUGAAAUAAGAUUCUUCUUGGAAACAUGACACUGAACAUUUAAGGGAGGGGGAGGAAUAGCUGUAAAAUGGCUAUAGAGAAGGGGUUACAAAUUAAAUAUAAUAAAAAGAAUCCUUUUGAAUGAGAUCUUAAUUUAACCUCAACAUCAUGACCAUAUAUUUCAGGAAAUUAAUCCCUUGGCCUCCAAUAAAUCCAAAGUAUAACACAACCACUUAUGGUUCAGCAAUGAGCCAUUAGUAUGGGCUACAGAUCCUGCAAAACCACCAGACCCAUUAUUUAGGAACGUGCUGAAUUACCCAGGUCUGAUGCAGCUCAUCAGCCACCGGGGCUGCCGGGCUGCCCGUAGCACUGGCCACGUCGAAUACCUGCACCCCGGCCCCAGGGGUCUUCUGGCUUUUUUCUCUGCCCCGUCCCACCCCUCCCAGGACUUUGUUCCUGAGCAAACAUCGCGCUCCCUGUCUGCAGGAAUAACCUGGGAGAGGUCUCAGGGAGGAGGUCAGCCUCGCUCGGUGCCAGAGCCCGGAGGAAAGCCCCGUGGGGCAGUGGAUGCCGUCCUGCCGGCGCCGUGCGGGGCUGCCAGCCUCUGCUAAACCAGCAUUCAUCCAGGGCUGGGUUUGUGCUGCUUUCAAAACAAAAUAAUUGGGGACAGAAGUGCAAGAGCAAACUUCCUCCGGAGCCUUUCCGAGCCCUCUCUGUUCCACUGCACGCGUUGCCAGCUUGGCACCAGGUUCUUCUGCAUAUGCCCCAAAAUGAGGAAAGUAACUUCUAAUGAGUCAAGAGUGUAACCUUGCUCUGAGAGCGAACAUAUGCCACCGCAGCUCCCUUGGCAAAGGCACUUGGAGCCAGUUGCUGGCGCUUCAGUGAGAGCUCUUCCCAUCCAGGCUGCAGACACUUCAGGAUAAGUGUCUUUCUUGAUAAGGAACACGUAGACCAGGUGAAGAGCACUGAAGCUUUGCAAGCUUCAAAGGACCUGCUGGCAGAGGCUGCUGCAUCCCUGCUUCAUGUCAGAAGCAGCCGGCCAUGCAAGCAGCCAGGUUUCUCCUAGAGAAAUGUCCCUGCGAACCGAUAUGGAUAUUGAGGAGCAAGCGGCGAUCUGGGUGGUGAAAGGCAUCAUUACAAACACCAGCUGCCCCGUGUGUUUAGACGGGGUGAUAAAAUCAGAGAGCACAUGGACACGGACAGCUGCAAAGCCCCCAGCAUAACCUUGAAUCUUGAGAGAGCCCACACCCUCUCCCCAGCUUUCCUUUCCAGACAGGAGAAAGCAGCAGAAGUGGGAAUGUGUCCAUCCUGAUGGGCAGUCCUGCAGAGAGCUGGCCCGGAGUAGUUCAAGCUGGAAAAUGUCUUUUUGACAGGGGAAAAAAACCACUUUGCUAUCUGAAAGCUUUUUGGUCAACAGCACAAAUGUAGGGCAAAAACCCAACCAUAAGUCCAAGAGCAUCCCAGGAAGCAGAAAAAAAGGCAAAAGUGCAAUUUUUGAUGGGGAAUCACAAACAGAUGGGGAGGAUCUUCCACCAACAACUCUGCAGUCCAGCAAACCCCUUUCACACGGUGCAACCCACCUCCAGGCUGGCUGACCCACCAUGGGGCCGACAGAAGCCAGGUGACCACAAAACACCACACCAACCACCUUCAAGCAGCAAGUUUCCUGCAUUUAUGGCGGGAUCUCCUAUUUGUGGCCACACGAGGGGUUUCCCACCUGCAAAAAUUGCCUGCAGUUGGAGAAGGCGUGAGGUGGGAACGAGGGGUGCUCUGCUUUCUCAUCAACCACCAAAGUUCUCAUUUAUUGCACAGCCCGGUUCCCAAAUCGCUCGCGUGGUUCUCGCUGAAGCGGAUGCUGUGGUUUUCUUGUCUGAAAUAAAUUGCGCAACAAAUUCAGCCCAGCGUUGAGAAGCAUUAGCUAAAGCAAAACAGCUCUAAUAGUGCUGGUCCUGUACGUCCCGCUGGGAGACUUUCAAUUGAUGGACUUACAAGAGAUGAAAUAUUCAGUAGGAUUAAGAAUUUGGAGGAGGUGGAAAUCAAAGUGAAAAAGAACACAAGUAAAAACAGCUUAAUCCAGCCUUCUAGCACUAAUUGUCAUUGGGAUUCAGGCUAAAACAAACACAACAAAACAAGCUGCCAAUUUGAAAGGGGAAGGAAGAGGGUGAAGACGAUUCCCAUCGCAUCGAAAGUAACCUUUUUAUCUCCGCGCCACCGCAGACGGCAGCAGGCAGGCAGGGACCACUCCGUCCCUCCUGCCCUCACCAUGGUCCAUGCAGGCAGCCCGCCCCGGCUGCAUGAGCAGGAUCCAUCCUUCCCCCAUGGGCAGCGAUGCUUUUAGCAAAGGUGCCACCAUAAAUGCCCCUGUCGGCUGGGCAGGAGCCCCCGGGCAGCCCCCGGGCUCUGCAGACCCCUCUCAUCGCUCGCAGCUUGCGCAGGAGGAGCAGAGCCCAACACGUUGCCCUCGCACUGCUGGGGCUGAGUCGCAGGAGAGGCAGAUUAUCUUACAGCCGAAGCCGAGUUAUCCAACACUGCAAUUUAAGUUGACAAUUACAUGGUAACCGACUUGCACACAAAGAGAGGCUCUGGAAGUAUUCCCAGAAUACAGAAGUCUGACAGUAUCCACCCAAUUUGUUGCAACAACAAAGAAUACUGGAAUAUGUCCUUUCAUUUGGCAGAGGAGUAUUUCAUUUUUUAAGGCUAGGUGGAGAAAUUUAGCCUGCUAUUUAAGGAGCAUGUUGUGCCUUGAGAGUGACAAGCCAAGAGUUUCACUAGAAAGCCAAACUCAAACACAAAUUGCAUCCUGCCACCCAGAAACUAAAUUGCACCAAAGAAAGAAAUUAGCAGGGCCGCAUCUUUUGUUAGGGCCUGCGUUUUCAGUCUUAGGAAGACAGAAGUGGGGGCCUCUUAGAGCUGCCUUGUAUGUUCCCCUUCUCUGCAUUAGCUCCAGGAAAAACAACAUCCCAGCAAGUACCUUUCAUUUUUUUAAGCCCUCCCUUCAUGGCAAAGCUGGUUCAUUUGCAGCUGCCUGGGCUGCUGGGACAGACCCAAGGUGGCAGCUAAGGGAACCAGCUCGGUUUACCCACUGGUGGGGCUCGGCACCUCCCCAGGGCUCCCAGCAGACAGGUUUCCAGGUUCCAGCUCAGGAUUUGGGAGAGCUGUGACAUGACCAUUUGCUCUGCAAGUGUCAAGAAACCACAAUGUCCCGCUCACGUGGGGAGGUGGUGAGCCAGGGCCGAUGGCACAGCAGCGACUGUGGGGACGCAGAAGGAACCACUCAUUAAUUUUCUCAUGUUUUCCUGAUAAUUUUAUAUCAGGGUCUUCUAUUAAAUACAUAAAAACCCAACACCCCCCCCAAAUUCUAACAAGGGAGAUUCUGUGUGCCAGAAGAUAACCCUGGCAAACUAUAACCCAAAGCACUUUGUGGGGCCACGGGCAGCACGUGCUGGCUGGGGAAGGAGCGCUCCGGCACCCGCUUUGGCUCUGGUGUAACACAAACAAGGAGGAAUAAAGACUUUACACCCCCAGCACAGACAUCCCUAAGACGACUUCCCCGUGUUACCCAACCCUCGGGCUGGCUGCGCGGGGUGAAGCAGGGGCGCUGACAGCCACGGGCUCGGCUCCAGGCACUCCCACGUCACUGAGCCCCUCCGCCUCCUUCAAAGAUCUGUGUCAAAAAAAGCAACACUGCAUGGAGUUUUUGGGAACAGCCACGUGCACCUUAUCCCUGCUAAGGAUUUUGCUCUUGGCUGCAGGUAAUAACCUGUGCCCCAAGUUGGCUCAGCAGGAGCAGCACCCGCUUCAAAACCAAGGCUGCACUGGCAUUCAGCAACAGCGGCACUGCCCCGAGGAGGAACCGAGGAGCCUCUCCCCUCCCUUCCACCUCCCGUUCUCUGCAUUAACCUUUUUGGAUCCUUUAUUAAAGCAACUGAACAGUU